This 268-nucleotide RNase P RNA is filed under the name Chloroflexota bacterium. RNAcentral's name for it is "Chloroflexi bacterium (cold seep metagenome) partial RNase P RNA component class A". It matches the Rfam family "Bacterial RNase P class A", at positions 1 to 285 of the family's 367-position model. Rfam says of the family: Ribonuclease P (RNase P) is a ubiquitous endoribonuclease, found in archaea, bacteria and eukarya as well as chloroplasts and mitochondria. Its best characterised activity is the generation of mature 5'-ends of tRNAs by cleaving the 5'-leader elements of precursor-tRNAs. The record is from RNAcentral. Lineage: Bacteria; Bacillati; Chloroflexota.
CAAGUAAACCGGGUGACCGCUCGUCUAAAGACGGGAGGAAAGUCCGAGCUCCACCGGGCAGGAUGCUGGGUAAUGCCCAGGAGGGGUGACCCUACGGAAAGUGCCACAGAAACAUACCGCCCCGCUUCAAGUGGGGUAAGGGUGAAAUGGUGAGGUAAGAGCUCACCAGCGGCUGGGUGACCAGUCGGCUGGGUAAACCCCAUCCGGAGCAAGACCAAACAGAGGGACAUAAGGACGCCCGGCCUGUCCCCGGGUAGGUCGCUUGACC